GGUUAAGCGACUAAGCGUACACGGUGGAUGCCCUGGCAGUCAGAGGCGAUGAAGGACGUGCUAAUCUGCGAUAAGCGCCGGUAAGGUGAUAUGAACCGUUAUAACCGGCGAUACCCGAAUGGGGAAACCCAGUGUGAUUCGUCACACUAUCAUUAACUGAAUCCAUAGGUUAAUGAGGCGAACCGGGGGAACUGAAACAUCUAAGUACCCCGAGGAAAAGAAAUCAACCGAGAUUCCCCCAGUAGCGGCGAGCGAACGGGGAGGAGCCCAGAGCCUGAAUCAGCAUGUGUGUUAGUGGAAGCGUCUGGAAAGGCGCGCGAUACAGGGUGACAGCCCCGUACACAAAAGCGCAUGUGCUGUGAGCUCGAUGAGUAGGGCGGGACACGUGGUAUCCUGUCUGAAUAUGGGGGGACCAUCCUCCAAGGCUAAAUACUCCUGACUGACCGAUAGUGAACCAGUACCGUGAGGGAAAGGCGAAAAGAACCCCGGCGAGGGGAGUGAAAAAGAACCUGAAACCGUGUACGUACAAGCAGUGGGAGCACAGGUUUACCUGUGUGACUGCGUACCUUUUGUAUAAUGGGUCAGCGACUUAUAUUCUGUAGCAAGGUUAACCGUAUAGGGGAGCCGUAGGGAAACCGAGUCUUAACCGGGCGUUAAGUUGCAGGGUAUAGACCCGAAACCCGGUGAUCUAGCCAUGGGCAGGUUGAAGGUUGGGUAACACUAACUGGAGGACCGAACCGACUAAUGUUGAAAAAUUAGCGGAUGACCUGUGGCUGGGGGUGAAAGGCCAAUCAAACCGGGAGAUAGCUGGUUCUCCCCGAAAGCUAUUUAGGUAGCGCCUCGUGAAUUCAUCUCCGGGGGUAGAGCACUGUUUCGGCUAGGGGGCCAUCCCGGCUUACCAACCCGAUGCAAACUGCGAAUACCGGAGAAUGUUAUCACGGGAGACACACGGCGGGUGCUAACGUCCGUCGUGAAGAGGGAAACAACCCAGACCGCCAGCUAAGGUCCCAAAGUCAUGGUUAAGUGGGAAACGAUGUGGGAAGGCCCAGACAGCCAGGAUGUUGGCUUAGAAGCAGCCAUCAUUUAAAGAAAGCGUAAUAGCUCACUGGUCGAGUCGGCCUGCGCGGAAGAUGUAACGGGGCUAAACCAUGCACCGAAGCUGCGGCAGCGAACGUAUCACCCAAGACAACUUUACGGAGUUGACGAUUGACGGAGCGAAGCGACGUCAAAGCGUUCAUUAAAGUCGAGUUGGCUUAGGGAUACGUUCGUUGGGUAGGGGAGCGUUCUGUAAGCCUGUGAAGGUGUGUCGUGAGGCAUGCUGGAGGUAUCAGAAGUGCGAAUGCUGACAUAAGUAACGAUAAAGCGGGUGAAAAGCCCGCUCGCCGGAAGACCAAGGGUUCCUGUCCAACGUUAAUCGGGGCAGGGUGAGUCGACCCCUAAGGCGAGGCCGAAAGGCGUAGUCGAUGGGAAACGGGUUAAUAUUCCCGUACUUGGUGUUACUGCGAAGGGGGGACGGAGAAGGCUAUGUUGGCCGGGCGACGGUUGUCCCGGUUUAAGCGUGUAGGUGUGUGUUCCAGGUAAAUCCGGUUCACUUUAACACUGAGGCGUGACGACGAGGCACUACGGUGCUGAAGCAACAAAUGCCCUGCUUCCAGGAAAAGCCUCUAAGCAUCAGGUAACAUCAAAUCGUACCCCAAACCGACACAGGUGGUCAGGUAGAGAAUACCAAGGCGCUUGAGAGAACUCGGGUGAAGGAACUAGGCAAAAUGGUGCCGUAACUUCGGGAGAAGGCACGCUGACACGUAGGUGAAGUGAUUUACUCAUGGAGCUGAAGUCAGUCGAAGAUACCAGCUGGCUGCAACUGUUUAUUAAAAACACAGCACUGUGCAAACACGAAAGUGGACGUAUACGGUGUGACGCCUGCCCGGUGCCGGAAGGUUAAUUGAUGGGGUCAGCGCAAGCGAAGCUCCUGAUCGAAGCCCCGGUAAACGGCGGCCGUAACUAUAACGGUCCUAAGGUAGCGAAAUUCCUUGUCGGGUAAGUUCCGACCUGCACGAAUGGCGUAAUGAUGGCCAGGCUGUCUCCACCCGAGACUCAGUGAAAUUGAACUCGCUGUGAAGAUGCAGUGUACCCGCGGCAAGACGGAAAGACCCCGUGAACCUUUACUAUAGCUUGACACUGAACAUUGAGCCUUGAUGUGUAGGAUAGGUGGGAGGCUUUGAAGUGUGGACGCCAGUCUGCAUGGAGCCGACCUUGAAAUACCACCCUUUAAUGUUUGAUGUUCUAACGUGGACCCGUAAUCCGGGUUGCGGACAGUGUCUGGUGGGUAGUUUGACUGGGGCGGUCUCCUCCUAAAGAGUAACGGAGGAGCACGAAGGUUGGCUAAUCCUGGUCGGACAUCAGGAGGUUAGUGCAAUGGCAUAAGCCAGCUUGACUGCGAGCGUGACGGCGCGAGCAGGUGCGAAAGCAGGUCAUAGUGAUCCGGUGGUUCUGAAUGGAAGGGCCAUCGCUCAACGGAUAAAAGGUACUCCGGGGAUAACAGGCUGAUACCGCCCAAGAGUUCAUAUCGACGGCGGUGUUUGGCACCUCGAUGUCGGCUCAUCACAUCCUGGGGCUGAAGUAGGUCCCAAGGGUAUGGCUGUUCGCCAUUUAAAGUGGUACGCGAGCUGGGUUUAGAACGUCGUGAGACAGUUCGGUCCCUAUCUGCCGUGGGCGCUGGAGAACUGAGGGGGGCUGCUCCUAGUACGAGAGGACCGGAGUGGACGCAUCACUGGUGUUCGGGUUGUCAUGCCAAUGGCACUGCCCGGUAGCUAAAUGCGGAAGAGAUAAGUGCUGAAAGCAUCUAAGCACGAAACUUGCCCCGAGAUGAGUUCUCCCUGAGACUUAGAGUCUCCUGAAGGAACGUUGAAGACGACGACGUUGAUAGGCCGGGUGUGUAAGCGCAGCGAUGCGUUGAGCUAACCGGUACUAAUGAACCGUGAGGCUUAACCUU
RNAcentral lists this ribosomal RNA (2992 nucleotides) under Salmonella enterica subsp. enterica serovar Typhimurium. Its description in RNAcentral is "23S ribosomal RNA". It matches the Rfam family "Bacterial large subunit ribosomal RNA". Lineage: Bacteria; Pseudomonadati; Pseudomonadota; Gammaproteobacteria; Enterobacterales; Enterobacteriaceae. The record is from RNAcentral.